GUCGAGCGAGGCGGGGAGCAAUCCCCAGUCGAGCGGCGAACGGGUGAGUAACGCGUGGAUGACCUACCUCUAGGUGGGGGAUAACCCGGGGAAACUCGGGCUAAUACCGCAUAACAUCGAGAGAUCAAAGGGGGCUCGCAAGAGCUCCCGCCAGGAGAGGGGUCCGCGUACGAUUAGCUAGUUGGUAGGGUAAUGGCCUACCAAGGCGACGAUCGUUAGCCGGCCUGAGAGGGUGAUCGGCCACACUGGAACUGAGACACGGUCCAGACUCCUACGGGAGGCAGCAGUGGGGAAUUUUGCGCAAUGGGCGAAAGCCUGACGCAGCAACGCCGCGUGGAGGAUGAAGGUCUUUGGAUUGUAAACUCCUGUCAGCAGGGACGAAGGCUUCUGACCUAAUACGUCAGAGGAUUGACUGUACCUGCAGAGGAAGCCCCGGCUAACUCUGUGCCAGCAGCCGCGGUAAUACAGAGGGGGCAAGCGUUAUUCGGAAUUAUUGGGCGUAAAGGGCGCGUAGGCGGCUUGGCAAGUGGAAGGUGAAAUCCCUCGGCUCAACUGAGGAACUGCCUUCCAAACUGCUUUGCUUGAGUCCGGGAGAGGUCAGUGGAAUUCCCAGUGUAGCGGUGAAAUGCGUAGAUAUUGGGAGGAACACCAGUGGCGAAGGCGACUGACUGGACCGGUACUGACGCUGAGGCGCGAAAGCGUGGGGAGCAAACGGGAUUAGAUACCCCGGUAGUCCACGCCGUAAACGAUGAGUGCUUGG
RNAcentral lists this ribosomal RNA (760 nucleotides) under uncultured Acidobacteriota bacterium. RNAcentral's name for it is "bacterial SSU rRNA". It matches the Rfam family "Bacterial small subunit ribosomal RNA", at positions 61 to 820 of the family's 1533-position model. Lineage: Bacteria; Pseudomonadati; Acidobacteriota. The record is from RNAcentral.